RNAcentral lists this ribosomal RNA (253 nucleotides) under uncultured bacterium. RNAcentral's name for it is "partial 16S ribosomal RNA". It matches the Rfam family "Bacterial small subunit ribosomal RNA", at positions 524 to 776 of the family's 1533-position model. The record is from RNAcentral.
UACGUAGGGGGCAAGCGUUGUCCGGAAUCAUUGGGCGUAAAGAGCGUGUAGGCGGCCUGAUAAGUCGGUUGUGAAAGUCAAGGGCUCAACCCUUGAAUGCCGACCGAUACUGUCAGGCUAGAGUCCGGAAGAGGCGAGUGGAAUUCCUGGUGUAGCGGUGAAAUGCGUAGAGAUUAGGAAGAACACCAGUGGCGAAGGCGACUUACUGGACUGUAACUGACACUGAGGCAUGAAAGCGUGGGUAGCAAACAGG